Molecule: ribosomal RNA, 480 nt
Filed under: Triticum aestivum (bread wheat)
Lineage: Eukaryota; Viridiplantae; Streptophyta; Magnoliopsida; Poales; Poaceae
Description: partial small subunit ribosomal RNA
Source: RNAcentral
AUGGAGGAGUACAACCGAUACGUGAGGAUCGCAGACGGCGACCCUGUGAAGCUAGUUAGGAUUUUGGAGAUACCGUCUUGGUUUGACAACACGGACCAGCUAGCGGCGACGGUGACAUCCAUGGCCAAAUAUCUGCAACAGAGCGAAAAGGCGGCGAUACACCCAGAGGGAGUCGCGCCGGAGUACAUAGAGCUGCUCCUCUGGGCCAUAGAGCAAACAGAUUCACCAAAUAUGAUCGUGAGGGAGCGGUGGUGGGAGUAUCGAUCUCAGAUGGAGCAUCCACCAGAGAUUGAAGGAUCGAGCAUCUACAAGGUGCCGUUUGUGAGGGUGUCCUGCCAGAGUGAGUUGGUGGAGUCUUCGUCGACUGAACCCAACUGCAAGAGGAGAAAAGUUGUGGCACCCCGGCUCAGAGAAACCGGAACGCCCCGUAUUCCAGCCCAGAGAUCGAGGAGAAGUCUUCUGGAAUACGGCACUGCUUAG